AAAGUGCUGGGAUUACAGAUGUGAGCUGCUGCGCCUGGCCCCUUCAGGUGGGUUUUGAGGCUUCACUACAAUACUGGUUCCCCAUUGCUGCUGCAACAAAUUACCACACACUUAGUGGCUUAAAACAGCACGGAGGUAUUCCCUUACAGUUCUGAAGGCCAGAAUUCUAAAGUCAGUCCCACGGAGUCAAGAUGGGAGCAGGGUCAGUGCCUUCCCAGGCUCUGCGGGAGAUUCCAUUUCCUGGCCCCGGAGGCGGCCUGCUCUCCUCAGCUUGUGCUGCCCUUCUCCAGUGACGCGAGUUUCCUGCUUUCAUCGCUACACCUCCCUCCGCUCUCCAUCACCUGCUCUGCUCUUAUGAGGAUCCAGCUCAAGCUCUUGGACUCACUGAGGCAGUAAAAGUACCAUAUCCUGUUUGAAUCAAACCCCGAGUUCCUGUAUGUAGAAGCCUUGCCAGACAGGAUCCCCUUUCGAAACCCUUCUCGUUUGGAAUUCCAUGACUGGAAAGGAUCCUUCGUGAGAGUAAUAAAAUCAAGUUUGUUGUUAAAAACUUUGCAGUCCCCAAAAAGACCAUGAAGUCCUGAGAGUAAUGAAAAGCUUCCUGACAUUGAGGUCACUGUGGAAGGUAAGGGCCAGUUCUUGGCAUGUUUCUGUUGAUUCUCCAGUUUAAUAGUUAUGUCAAUUCACUAGCUAUGUGUUCAUACAGAUUAUAGUAACCAAACUCAUUGUACAUGUGAACAACUAACUUUGAUAAAGCUAAACUUCUGAAUGUUUUUAAUUGAAAUUUUGAAAAUCAUUAACAGAUAAUAAAUAACAUGGAUCACAUUACAAACUGCACUCAAGAAAAUCCCUAAAAUGCUUUUCCUCUAUUACAACAAAUAAGGGUGCAGAGGGUCAUGUGGAAUGUUUCUUCGUCUUUUGUCUUCUUUGUUUUUUCUAUUCUUUUGAGGAAAGAAAGUUGAGGGGUGGUUUAAAAAGCAGUGCCUAGAAUGAAAGUAUUUCCUACAGCACCCUCUAGUGUACUUCCUUCUCUCCAUUCCCAUGGGGUCUGCAGGGUUCUCAUCUUUUCAUGUUCACAGUAUUAAAAUACCUCAUACAAUAUCAAAACAGUUUCCAACCAACCCUCAAAUAUGGGUAUUUCUUCCAUCUCAUAAAUGCCAAAGGAAAUAGCUGCGUUAGGGUCAUUCUUUUUUUUUUUUUGGAGAUGGAAGUCUCGCUCUGUCACCCAGGCUGGAGUGCAGUGGCAUGAUCUCAACUCACUGCAGCCUCUGCCUCCUGGGUUCAAGCAAUUC
This is a non-coding RNA of Chlorocebus sabaeus (green monkey), 1289 nucleotides long. Lineage: Eukaryota; Metazoa; Chordata; Mammalia; Primates; Cercopithecidae. The record is from RefSeq and is a predicted model, not a curated record.